RNAcentral lists this ribosomal RNA (584 nucleotides) under uncultured beta proteobacterium. RNAcentral describes it as "bacterial SSU rRNA". It matches the Rfam family "Bacterial small subunit ribosomal RNA", at positions 338 to 916 of the family's 1533-position model. Lineage: Bacteria; Pseudomonadati; Pseudomonadota; Betaproteobacteria. The record is from RNAcentral.
CCUACGGGAGGCAGCAGUGGGGAAUUUUGGACAAUGGGGGCAGCCCUGAUCCAGCAAUGCCGCGUGAGUGAAGAAGGCCUUCGGGUUGUAAAGCUCUUUUGUCAGGGAAGAAACAGCAGCUCUAACACAGUCUGCGAAUGACGGUACCUGAAGAAUAAGCACCGGCUAACUACGUGCCAGCAGCCGCGGUAAUACGUAGGGUGCGAGCGUUAAUCGGAAUUACUGGGCGUAAAGCGUGCGCAGGCGGUUAUACAAGACAGGCGUGAAAUCCCCGGGCUUAACCUGGGAAUGGCGCCUGUGACUGUAUAGCUAGAGUGUGUCAGAGGGGGGUAGAAUUCCACGUGUAGCAGUGAAAUGCGUAGAUAUGUGGAGGAAUACCAAUGGCGAAGGCAGCCCCCUGGGAUAACACUGACGCUCAUGCACGAAAGCGUGGGGAGCAAACAGGAUUAGAUACCCUGGUAGUCCACGCCCUAAACGAUGCUGACUAGUUGUUGGGAAUUUACAUUCUCAGUAACGUAGCUAACGCGUGAAGUCAGCCGCCUGGGGAGUACGGUCGCAAGAUUAAAACUCAAAGGAAUUGACGG